GAUUGCAUGGAAAAAUUCAGUUUAGGGUUUAAAACCCUAAUGCUGGCUGGAAGAAAAAGUUCAGUUUAGGGUUUAAAACCCUAAUGCUGACUAAAAGGAAAAGUUCAGUUUAGGGUUUAAAACCCUAAUGCUGACUAAAAGGAAAAUUCAGUUUAGGGUUUAAAACCCUAAUGCUGAUUGCAUGAAAAAGCUCAGUUUAGAGUUUAAAACUCUAAUGCUGGCUGAAAGGAAAAAGUUCAGUUUAGGGUUUAAAACCCUAAUGCUGAUUGCAUGGAAAAGCUCAGUUUAGAGUUUAAAACUCUAAUGCUGGCUGAAAGGAAAAUUCAGUUUAGGGUUUAAAACUCUAAUGCUGAUUGCAUGGAAAAGCUCAGUUUAGAGUUUAAAACUCUAAUGCUGGCUGAAGGGAAAAUGUUCAGUUUAGGGUUUAAAACCCUAAGGCUGACUACAUGGAAAAAGAUCAGUUUAGAGUUUAAAACUCUAAUGCUGGCUGAAAGGAAAAUUCGGUUUAGGGUUUAAAACCCUAAUGCUGAUUGCAUGGAAAGAUUAUGUUUAGGGUUUAAAACCCUAAUGCUGGCUGAAAGGAAAAUUCAGUUUAGGGUUUAAAACCCUAAUGCUGAUUGCAUGAAAAAGCUCAGUUUAGAGUUUAAAACUCCAAUGCUGGCUGAAAGGAAAAUUCAGUUUAGGGUUUAAAACCCUAAUGCCGAUUGCAUGCAAAAGCUCAGUUUAGAGUUUAAAACUCCAAUGCUGGCUGAAAGGAAAAUUCAAUUUAGGGUUUUAAAACCCUAAUGCUGAUUGCAUGAAAAAGCUCAGUUUAGAGUUUAAAACUCUAAUGCUGGCUGACAGGAAAAAGUUCAGUUUAGGGUUUAAAACCCUAAUGCUGAUUAAAAGGAAAAUUCAGUUUAGGGUUUAAAACCCUAAUGCUGAUUGCAUGAAAAAGCUCAGUUUAGAGUUUAAAACUCCAAUGCUGGCUGAAUGGAAAAUUCAGUUUAGGGUUUAAAACCCUAAUGCUGAUUGCAUGGAAAAGCUCAGUUUAGAGUUUUAAACUCUAAUGCUGGCU
This 1057-nucleotide long non-coding RNA is filed under the name Nicotiana tabacum (common tobacco). Its description in RNAcentral is "long non-coding RNA (NTAB_LNC014015)". Lineage: Eukaryota; Viridiplantae; Streptophyta; Magnoliopsida; Solanales; Solanaceae. The record is from RNAcentral.